CACGUAGGGCGCGAGCGUUGUCCGGAAUUAUUGGGCGUAAAGAGCUCGUAGGCGGUUCGUCGCGGUCGGCUGUGAAAUCCCGGAGCUCAACUCCGGGUCUGCAGUCGAUACGGGCGGACUUGAGUUCGGCAGGGGAGACUGGAAUUCCUGGGUGUAGCGGUGAAAUGACGGCAGAUAUCAGGAGGAACACCGGUGGCGAAGGCGGGUCUCUGGGCCGAUACUGACGCUGGAGGAGCGAAAGCCGUUGGGGGAGCGAACAGG
Molecule: ribosomal RNA, 261 nt
Filed under: uncultured bacterium
Lineage: Bacteria
Description: partial 16S ribosomal RNA
Rfam family: Bacterial small subunit ribosomal RNA
Source: RNAcentral